UGUAAGUCGAGUGUCAGCAUACCCAAAAAGUUCCAAGGGUGCAUAAUGCCAUUGGAUACGUUAAAGAUGCCAACACAGAUUCAUCGUUAAUUGGUAACAAAGCGAUAUAGGUUUUGAUGAUUUGACAAAGGAACACAUGCAUGAACAAGAUCUAUGGAUAUUGUACGCAGGUUAAAAUCAGAAACAAGCAAGAGGCAUGCAUUGUUAUUCUCUUUUACAGGUAAUCGCAUACACACUAAAGUAAAGCAAAAAUUGAGAGCAAAAUAACAAGGCAUUUAUAGUGAGAAAUUCCUGUGAGAUUCAAGGGUGCUAACCUGAAACCACAUGAACCAGAUUGAAGAACUAGUUCCAUGUGUCUUUCUUUAGUUCUUGUUCAAGUAUAGUAGGAGCUUUUGAGUUGUACCUUUCAGCUUUCUUUAGAAGCAAAUUGUACUAAGUACUUGAGUUGUCUAAUUCAAGUUAGAGUUAACUUGAAGUAGUCGCAACAGCCCGUGACGUGUUGCUACAAGGGUUAGAGUUUAAUCUUUAAGUUUGCAAGAGUUUGUAAACUUUGU
This is a long non-coding RNA of Nicotiana tabacum (common tobacco), 554 nucleotides long. RefSeq lists it as uncharacterized. NCBI's taxonomy places the organism in Eukaryota, Viridiplantae, Streptophyta, Magnoliopsida, Solanales, Solanaceae. The record is from RefSeq and is a predicted model, not a curated record.